UCCGACUUAACGCCGGCAGUCUCGUAUGAAAAAUACAACAUACGAUAAGGGUUGCGCUCGUUGACGGACUUAACCGUACACUUCACAGCACGAGCUGACGACAGCCGUGCAACACCUGUCUUCUGGUUCCUUGCGGCACGGUCCUAUUUCUAGGACUUUCCAGAGAUGUCAAGCCUCGGUAAGGUGCUUCGCUUACCAUCGAAUUAAACCACAUGCUCCACCACUUGUGCGGGUCCCCGUCAAUUCCUUUGAGUUUUAGCCUUGCGGCCGUACUCCCCAGGCGGCUGACUUAACGCGUUAGCUACGGUACACAACGGGUCGAUACGCCAUAUACCUAGUCAGCAUCGUUUAGGGCGUGGACUAC
Molecule: unclassified non-coding RNA, 364 nt
Filed under: uncultured bacterium
Lineage: Bacteria
Description: contains 16S-23S intergenic spacer region
Source: RNAcentral